RNAcentral lists this ribosomal RNA (376 nucleotides) under uncultured Bacteroidales bacterium. RNAcentral describes it as "bacterial SSU rRNA". It matches the Rfam family "Bacterial small subunit ribosomal RNA", at positions 22 to 397 of the family's 1533-position model. The record is from RNAcentral. Lineage: Bacteria; Pseudomonadati; Bacteroidota; Bacteroidia; Bacteroidales.
GCUCAGGAUGAACGCUAGCUACAGGCUUAACACAUGCAAGUCGAGGGGUAGCAGGGUAGCAAUACCGCUGACGACCGGCGCACGGGUGAGUAACACGUAUCCAACCUUCCCAUAACUCGGGGAUAGCCUUUCGAAAGAAAGAUUAAUACCCGAUAGUACUUUAUUAAGGCAUCUUAAGAAAGUUAAAGACUUAUUGGUUAUGGAUGGGGAUGCGUUCCAUUAGAUAGUUGGUGAGGUAACGGCUCACCAAGUCUUCGAUGGAUAGGGGUUCUGAGAGGAAGGUCCCCCACAUUGGUACUGAGACACGGACCAAACUCCUACGGGAGGCAGCAGUGAGGAAUAUUGGUCAAUGGGCGAGAGCCUGAACCAGCCAAGU